AGCCCCGUGGUGUAGCGGCCAAUCAUACGGGCCUUUGGAGCCUGUGACCUAGGUUCGAAUCCUAGCGGGGCUA
Molecule: transfer RNA, 73 nt
Filed under: Candidatus Woesearchaeota archaeon
Lineage: Archaea; Nanobdellati; Candidatus Woesearchaeota
Description: tRNA-Gln
Rfam family: tRNA
About the family: Transfer RNA (tRNA) molecules are approximately 80 nucleotides in length. Their secondary structure includes four short double-helical elements and three loops (D, anti-codon, and T loops).
Source: RNAcentral